This 980-nucleotide long non-coding RNA is filed under the name Nicotiana tabacum (common tobacco). RNAcentral describes it as "long non-coding RNA (NTAB_LNC017895)". The record is from RNAcentral. Lineage: Eukaryota; Viridiplantae; Streptophyta; Magnoliopsida; Solanales; Solanaceae.
GAGGCUCUUGUUACUGGGGAGAUGCUGCCCGAAUUUAUAUAAAUGAGCUACAAGUUUAAGUUGCAAACUUAGCCUUUAUUCAACACUAAUUUUGAAUCUCCUUAUGCAAUGGUAGAUUGAGUUGAGUUGUUUGAAGAGUUGCUUAAGAUGUAUUAAGGACUCACCAUGGUUAAGGUAUGUUAAGGCACUUCCCUCUUUCUUUUGGCAUGAUCUAAAGUGAAAUGAAUACACUAUUUCGUAACAGAUCUACUCCUAGAAACUAAGGUUGCCCAUGUUGUUCUUUCCUUAUAAAGUUAUUCUAAGAAGGUAUGUAUGAUCCUUGAAUCCUAUAGAAGCUCAUAUUGAUGGUAUGAUGUCCAUAAUGUUAAUCGAAGGUGCAACGACCUUAAGUCACUCCAAAAGGUUUAGAACGUGAUUCCAUGAGUUUAGCAUGCAUUAUAUAUAAUAUUUAUUUUACUCUACCGAGCCGCACUAUAGUAGGCCGGGUACGAUAUAUAUUGUGUAACCACUGAUCAGUUGGAUUUACCGAGCUCCACGUGGCCGGGUACGAUUCUACCGAGCCUUAUGAUGGCCGGGUAUGUUUUUACCGAGUCCUCUUUGAGGCCGGGUACGAUAUGAUGAUGAUGAUGAUGAUGAUGUCUACAGACGCGUAUAUUUUUAAAAGUUUAUGUAUAUAUAUAUGUAUUACGCAUUUCAUGUCAACAUCCCACAGAGGCACGCAGAUUUUACAGGUUGUAUCUCCUCUAUCUCUAUUUAUAUUACUAUUCUUGUUUAUGCUUUCUUGCUUUACAUACUCGGUACUUUAUUGGUACUGACGUCCCUUUUGCCUGGGGACGCUGCGUUUCAUGCCUGCAGGUCCCAAUUGAUAGGUUGACAUUCCUCCUAGUAGGCUAUCAGCUCAGCGGAGGUGUUGGUGCACUCCACUUGCUUCGGAGUUGCCUAUUUGGUUAGUAUGCUUUAGAUAUAUAUUGAUUGACAUG